GAUGAACGCUGGCGGCGUGCCUAAUACAUGCAAGUCGAGCGAACAGACGAGGAGCUUGCUCCUCUGACGUUAGCGGCGGACGGGUGAGUAACACGUGGAUAACCUACCUAUAAGACUGGGAUAACUUCGGGAAACCGGAGCUAAUACCGGAUAAUAUAUUGAACCGCAUGGUUCAAUAGUGAAAGACGGUUUUGCUGUCACUUAUAGAUGGAUCCGCGCCGCAUUAGCUAGUUGGUAAGGUAACGGCUUACCAAGGCGACGAUGCGUAGCCGACCUGAGAGGGUGAUCGGCCACACUGGAACUGAGACACGGUCCAGACUACUACGGGAGGCAGCAGUAGGGAAUGUUCCGCAAUGGGCGAAAGCCUGACGGAGCAACGCCGCGUGAGUGAUGAAGGUCUUCGGAUCGUAAAACUCUGUUAUUAGGGAAGAACAAAUGUGUAAGUAACUAUGCACGUCUUGACGGUACCUAAUCAGAAAGCCACGGCUAACUACGUG
Molecule: ribosomal RNA, 497 nt
Filed under: uncultured bacterium
Lineage: Bacteria
Description: partial 16S ribosomal RNA
Rfam family: Bacterial small subunit ribosomal RNA
Source: RNAcentral